AUAUGUUGUCAUUUCCAAGCUUGUCUCAAGAAGAUAAAGAUUCUAAGAAAAGUUUAUUCUUCCAUGACCUGCUGGCCUAGAGCCAGGAUAGGACCUGAGGUUCAGUUUCUACGGUCAGGGGAUUAUGUAUUAAAAUUCUACUGUUUGUUCCGUAGCAGACGCUGCUUCCUUUUCCGGAGAAAUACUGCCUGCUGUUGUAAGCAACCACUACGGAUUUCUCAGAAGUACUGUGGCAAAUAAAAAUGAUUGAGAAUCAUUACUCUGUACAUUUUCUAUUCUACUAGAGAGACAGUUUAAAAUAAAACAAUAGGUUUUAGGUCUUUGCUUCUUAGAAUGCUAAGACCACCAUGCAGUGGAAAAGCUCCAUCCACCAUAAGAAGAUGAGAAGCCAUGUGGAGAACUAAGACUUUUCAGCCAAUAGCCAGCACCAACUGCCAGACACAUGAGUGAGGCCAUCUUGAACCCUCCAACCCUAGUGUAUUCAGGGUUCUCCAGAGAAACAGAACCAACAGGAUGUGUGUGUGCAUGUGUAUGUUUAUAAAGAUAUUUAUUUUAA
Macaca mulatta (Rhesus monkey) is the source of this 556-nucleotide non-coding RNA. The record is from RefSeq and is a predicted model, not a curated record. Lineage: Eukaryota; Metazoa; Chordata; Mammalia; Primates; Cercopithecidae.